This 74-nucleotide ribosomal RNA is filed under the name Erythrobacter sp. RNAcentral's name for it is "partial 16S ribosomal RNA". It matches the Rfam family "Bacterial small subunit ribosomal RNA", at positions 1 to 73 of the family's 1533-position model. The record is from RNAcentral. Lineage: Bacteria; Pseudomonadati; Pseudomonadota; Alphaproteobacteria; Sphingomonadales; Erythrobacteraceae.
CAAACUUGAGAGUUUGAUCCUGGCUCAGAACGAACGCUGGCGGCAUGCCUAACACAUGCAAGUCGAACGAACCC